RNAcentral lists this long non-coding RNA (309 nucleotides) under Trifolium pratense (red clover). RNAcentral's name for it is "long non-coding RNA (TPRA_LNC008948)". Lineage: Eukaryota; Viridiplantae; Streptophyta; Magnoliopsida; Fabales; Fabaceae. The record is from RNAcentral.
CGUUUUUUUGAUGAUUGAUUUCUGCCAUCACACAUUGAACUUCAAAUAAGCCCUAAAUUGAUGGACAUUCUAUUUCCAUUCACUUCAAUCUUCAUGGUUGACCUCAUUAAUAUUUCCCAUGAUUUUCGAUUGUGAAUAUCUGCACCAUAUUAAAUCAAAUAUUCAAUCAAUGACACCAUAAAUAGUUGACUUCUAAUUCUGGCAGAUACUUUUGAAAUUAAAUUUUAGCGCCAAAAAGAGUGUCACCUCGCAUUUAUCAUAAUCCAUGUGGCAACUUGUGAGAACAUCUUUUCCUAUGUGGAAACCUUU